Molecule: ribosomal RNA, 253 nt
Filed under: uncultured bacterium
Lineage: Bacteria
Description: partial 16S ribosomal RNA
Rfam family: Bacterial small subunit ribosomal RNA
Source: RNAcentral
UACGAAGGGGGCUAGCGUUGCUCGGAAUCACUGGGCGUAAAGCGCACGUAGGCGGAUUGAUAAGUCAGGGGUGAAAUCCUGGAGCUCAACUCCAGAACUGCCUUUGAUACUGGCGAUCUCGAGUCCGGGAGAGGUGAGUGGAACUGCGAGUGUAGAGGUGAAAUUCGUAGAUAUUCGCAAGAACACCAGUGGCGAAGGCGGCUCACUGGCCCGGUACUGACGCUGAGGUGCGAAAGCGUGGGGAGCAAAUAGG